GAUGAACGCUGGCGGCAGGCCUAACACAUGCAAGUCGAACGGCAGCAGAGUGAGAGCUUGUUCUUUCGGGUGGAGAGGCGAGCGGGGGUGAGACACAUAUCCAACUUUCCUUUUUCGUGGGGGCUAACGUAGGGAACCCUACGUUAUACCUCCUUACGUCUUACGGGUGCAUGCAUGGGAUCUUCGGACUUUGCGCGAUUUUAUGAGUCGUUGUCGGAUUUGCUGGUUGGCGGGGUAAAGGCCCACCAAGGCGACGAUCCGUAGAUGGUCUGAGAGGAUGAUCAGCCACACUGGAACGGAGACACGGCCCAGACUCCAACGGGAGGCAGCAGUGGGGAAUAUUGGACAAGGGGCGCAAGCCUAAUCCAGACAUACCGCGUGGGGGAAGAAGGCCUUCGGGUUGUAAAGCCCUUUUGCUGGGAAGGAAGAGCAGCAGGUGAAUACCCUGCUGGAUUGACGGUACCCAAAGAAUAAGCACCGGCUAACUUCGUG
This 492-nucleotide ribosomal RNA is filed under the name uncultured bacterium. Its description in RNAcentral is "partial 16S ribosomal RNA". It matches the Rfam family "Bacterial small subunit ribosomal RNA", at positions 28 to 507 of the family's 1533-position model. The record is from RNAcentral.